GGUGGCGUAGCCAAGUGGUAAGGCAGGGGCCUGCAAAGCCCCCAUCCGCGAGUUCAAAUCCCGCCGCCACCU
This 72-nucleotide transfer RNA is filed under the name Synechococcaceae cyanobacterium SM2_3_60. Its description in RNAcentral is "tRNA-Cys". It matches the Rfam family "tRNA". From Rfam's summary of the family: Transfer RNA (tRNA) molecules are approximately 80 nucleotides in length. Their secondary structure includes four short double-helical elements and three loops (D, anti-codon, and T loops). Further hydrogen bonds mediate the characteristic L-shaped molecular structure. tRNAs have two regions of fundamental functional importance: the anti-codon, which is responsible for specific mRNA codon recognition, and the 3' end, to which the tRNAs corresponding amino acid is attached (by aminoacyl-tRNA synthetases). tRNAs cope with the degeneracy of the genetic code in two manners: having more than one tRNA (with a specific anti-codon) for a particular amino acid; and 'wobble' base-pairing, i.e. permitting non-standard base-pairing at the 3rd anti-codon position. The record is from RNAcentral. Lineage: Bacteria; Bacillati; Cyanobacteriota; Cyanophyceae; Synechococcales; Synechococcaceae.